UUACACAAUGCAAGUCGAACGGCAGCACAGGAGAGCUUGCUCUCUGGGUGGCGAGUGGCGGACGGGUGAGGAAUACAUCGGAAUCUACUCUGUCGUGGGGGAUAACGUAGGGAAACUUACGCUAAUACCGCAUACGACCUACGGGUGAAAGCAGGGGACCUUCGGGCCUUGCGCGAUUGAAUGAGCCGAUGUCGGAUUAGCUAGUUGGCGGGGUAAAGGCCCACCAAGGCGACGAUCCGUAGCUGGUCUGAGAGGAUGAUCAGCCACACUGGAACUGAGACACGGUCCAGACUCCUACGGGAGGCAGCAGUGGGGAAUAUUGGACAAUGGGCGCAAGCCUGAUCCAGCCAUACCGCGUGGGUGAAGAAGGCCUUCGGGUUGUAAAGCCCUUUUGUUGGGAAAGAAAUCCAGCUGGCUAAUACCCGGUUGGGAUGACGGUACCCAAAGAAUAAGCACCGGCUAACUUCGUGCCAGCAGCCGCGGUAAUACGAAGGGUGCAAGCGUUACUCGGAAUUACUGGGCGUAAAGCGUGCGUAGGUGGUUAUUUAAGUCCGUUGUGAAAGCCCUGGGCUCAACCUGGGAACUGCAGUGGAUACUGGAUGACUAGAAUGUGGUAGAGGGUAGCGGAAUUCCUGGUGUAGCAGUGAAAUGCGUAGAGAUCAGGAGGAACAUCCAUGGCGAAGGCAGCUACCUGGACCAACAUUGACACUGAGGCACGAAAGCGUGGGGAGCAAACAGGAUUAGAUACCUGAGGUAGUCCUGA
This 763-nucleotide ribosomal RNA is filed under the name Stenotrophomonas maltophilia. RNAcentral describes it as "bacterial SSU rRNA". It matches the Rfam family "Bacterial small subunit ribosomal RNA", at positions 49 to 799 of the family's 1533-position model. The record is from RNAcentral. Lineage: Bacteria; Pseudomonadati; Pseudomonadota; Gammaproteobacteria; Lysobacterales; Lysobacteraceae.